CUAGUUUCGCCACUGGGUCAAUAGGCUCAUCGACAAUAGACUCAACCUCACGAGCUUGACCUUGUUGUUGAUUACGACGACUAAAGCCAAUAGGUGGGUCGGGUAAGGUUAGAUGUGGGACGAGCUCAACAUAAAAUGUCGAACGUGCUUACGCUCGAGCUCGCUAAUUCUAAAUUUGGCAACUACUUGAUGUCGGGUGUCCUUAGCAUAACUGGAUAUUGGUCUUUGGGAUAAAAGAAUGGUAAUCUAUUAGCCCUAAACCAAAUCAUGUAAGGCAGAUUCGUGUCGAUCUGAUACUCCUAGACUGGCCCUCAAGUGAUGACAAAUUCGUGAUGCAUGUGCCACUUUACGAUCCACUAUCGACGUUCAUUGGC
This 374-nucleotide long non-coding RNA is filed under the name Gossypium barbadense (sea-island cotton). RNAcentral's name for it is "long non-coding RNA (GBAR_LNC011780)". The record is from RNAcentral. Lineage: Eukaryota; Viridiplantae; Streptophyta; Magnoliopsida; Malvales; Malvaceae.